AGGCGAAGGAAGAGCAUUAAGAGGAGCUGGAAGAGGCGGCUUGUCUUCAAGAAGCGGACCGUUCGAGGGCUUAUUGAACAUAAGCCCGUUGGGCAAUUUAGCUCGCGGAGCCAUUGGCUCUGUGGCCAGUGAUCUUGCUGGAACCGGACUCCGUUUGUUACAAGGCAGCAGGGCUGGCAGGAGGUUGGAACGCACAAGCAGACGCUUCAUAACACGUUUGUCACGAAGAGCAGACUCCCUGAGAAGAACGCUAGGACAACGACGAAGAAAGCGUUCUAUUCCAUUAAACGUAAAGUUGCCGUCAGCUGCGAUAUCAUCGAGCAUCGUAGAUGGCG
Rhipicephalus microplus (southern cattle tick) is the source of this 335-nucleotide long non-coding RNA. NCBI's taxonomy places the organism in Eukaryota, Metazoa, Arthropoda, Arachnida, Ixodida, Ixodidae. The record is from RefSeq and is a predicted model, not a curated record.